GUAGUAUUCCCUCCGUCCCAAAAUUCUUGUCUUACAUUUGUUUAGAUACGGAUGUAUCUAACACUAAAAUGUAACUAGAUACAUCGGUAUUUAGACAAAUUUAAGACAAGAAUUUUGGGACGGAGGGAGUACAAA
Molecule: non-coding RNA, 135 nt
Organism: Triticum aestivum (bread wheat)
Lineage: Eukaryota; Viridiplantae; Streptophyta; Magnoliopsida; Poales; Poaceae
Source: Rfam